UGAGCAACCUGCCCUUGACCCUGGAAUAACAGCUGGAAACAGCUGCUAAUACCGGAUACGACCUCCGACGGCAUCAUCUGGAGGUGGAAAGCUCCGACGGUCAAGGAUGGGCUCGCGGCCUAUCAGCUUGUUGGUGAGGUAACGGCUCACCAAGGCUUCGGACGGGUAGCCGGCCUGGAGGAGGGCGACCGGCCACACGUGGGACUGAGAUACCGGCCCAGACCUCCGUACGGGAGCAG
RNAcentral lists this ribosomal RNA (239 nucleotides) under uncultured bacterium. Its description in RNAcentral is "partial 16S ribosomal RNA". It matches the Rfam family "Bacterial small subunit ribosomal RNA", at positions 118 to 347 of the family's 1533-position model. The record is from RNAcentral.